Molecule: ribosomal RNA, 24 nt
Filed under: Rhizonemella sp. A SAS-2017
Lineage: Eukaryota; Metazoa; Nematoda; Chromadorea; Rhabditida; Heteroderidae
Description: partial 28S ribosomal RNA
Source: RNAcentral
UUCGACCUGAACUCAGACGUGAAU